GCUUUAAGCAUGCAAGUUGAGCGAGAAAUACCGUUCUUCGGGAUGGUAUGGAAAGCAGCAAACGGGUGAGUAACACGUAACUACUAACCCAGUGGUGGGGGAUAGUAUAAAGAAAUUUAUAGUAAUCCCGCAUACGCUUUACGAAGGAAAGCCUCUUUUGAGGUGCCAUUGGACAGGGUUGCGCUCCACUAGUUAGACGGUAGGGUAAUGGCCUACCGUGACGAUGAUGGAUAGUCGGGCUGAGAGGUUGUUCGGCCACAUUGGGACUGAGAUACGGCCCAGACUCCUACGGGAGGCAGCAGCUAGGAAUAUUCCGCAAUGGGCGAAAGCCUGACGGAGCGAUGUCGCGUGCAUGAUGAAUGCCUUUACGGGUUGUAAAGUGCUUUUUUUCGGGAAGAUGAUAAGAGAUAUAGUCUGAAUAUUGACGGUACCGAAAGAAUAAGUCCUGGCUAAUUCCGUGCCAGCAGCCGCGGUAAUACGGAAGGGACGAGCGUUGUUCGGAUUUAUUGGGCGUAAAGCGAGUGUAGGUGGAUGUAUAAGUGGGUCUAUUCAGCAUCGAGCUUAACUUGAUGAUCGGAUCUAAACUGUACGUCUAGAGUAGGCUAGAGGAUACUGGAAUUCCGGGUGUAGGGGUGGAAUCUAUAGAUAUCCGGAGGAACACCGAUGGCGAAGGCAAGUAUCUGGGACCAAACUGACACUGAGACUCGAAAGCCAGGGGAGCGAACGGGAUUAGAUACCCCGGUAGUCCUGGCCGUAAACGUUGUCAACUAGAUUAUAUCUGUAUUACAACUCGGGUAUGAUCCAAGCUAACGUGAUAAGUUGACCGCCUGGGGAGUAUACGCGCAAGCAUGAAACUCAAAGGAAUUGACGGGGGCCCGCACAAGCGGUGGAGCAUGUGGUUUAAUUCGAUGAUACGCGAGUAAUCUUACCUGGAUUUGACAUUGUAGUGACAAUCAGUGAAAGCUGAUCUCCCUUCGGGGCACUAUGACAGGUGCUGCAUGGCUGUCGUCAGCUCGUGUCGUGAGAUGUGGUGGUUAAGUCCCACAACGAGCGCAACCCUUGUCUUGUGUUGCUAAUGUACCUUCGGGUGCAUGCACUCUCAAGAGACUGCUGCUGAAAGGCAGAGGAAGGAAAGGAUGACGUCAAGUCCUCAUGGCUCUUACAUUCAGGGCUACACACGUGCUACAAUGGCUACUACAAUGCGUUGCAAACUUGCGAAAGUGAGCUAAUCGUCAAAAGUAGUCUCAGUUCGGAUCGCAGUCUGAAACUCGACUGCGUGAAGCUGGAAUCGCUAGUAAUCGGAUAUCAUUAUGAUCCGGUGAAUACGUUCUCGGGCCUUGUACACACCGCCCGUCACACCACCCGAAUGGAUUGAUCCCGAAG
Molecule: ribosomal RNA, 1383 nt
Filed under: uncultured Spirochaetales bacterium
Lineage: Bacteria; Pseudomonadati; Spirochaetota; Spirochaetia; Spirochaetales
Description: 16S ribosomal RNA
Rfam family: Bacterial small subunit ribosomal RNA
Source: RNAcentral